AACGGGGAUUGCCUCAGUAACGGCGAGUGAAGCGGCAACAGCUCAAAUUUGAAAUCUGGCGCCCCCGGCGCCCGAGUUGUAAUUUGCAGAGGAUGCCUCGGUGCGAGGCCGCGCCCAAGUCCCUUGGAACAGGGCGCCUCAGAGGGUGAGAGUCCCGUUGGGCCGCGGCCGACCUCCGUGUGAGGCUCCUUCGACGAGUCGAGUUGUUUGGGAAUGCAGCUCUAAGCGGGAGGUAAAUUUCUCCUAAGGCUAAAUACCGGCCAGAGACCGAUAGCGCACAAGUAGAGUGAUCGAAAGAUGAAAAGCACUUUGGAAAGAGAGUUAAAAAGCACGUGAAAUUGUUGAAAGGGAAGCGCUUGCGGCCAGACUUGCCGCGGCGGUUCGGCCGGGUGCUCCACCCGGCUUACUCCGCCGCGUCGGGCCAGCAUCAGCUUGGGCGGUCGGACAAAGGCCUGGGGAACGUAGCUCCCUCCGGGGAGUGUUAUAGCCCCUCGCGCAAUGCGGCCUGCCCGGGCUGAGGCUCGCGUUCUGCUAGGAUGCUGGCGUAAUGGCCGCAAGCGGCCCGUCUUGAAACACGGACCAAGGAGUCUACCAUCUGUGCGAGUGUUUGGGUGUCAAACCCGUGCGCGUAAUGAAAGUGAACGGAGGCGGGAGCCCCCGGGCGCACCGUCGACCGAUCCUGAUGUCUUCGGAUGGAUUUGAGUAAGAGCACAGCUGGUGGGACCCGAAAGGUAAGCAACCAAUCCUUUUCUUCUACUUUAUAAAUGAAAGCUAACAGAAAUUCCCCAGAUGGUGAACUAUGCGUAAACAGGGCGAAGCCAGAGGAAACUCUGGUGGAGGCUCGCAGCGGUUCUGACGUGCAAAUCGAUCGUCAAAUUCGCGCAUAGGGGCGAAAGACUAAUCGAA
RNAcentral lists this ribosomal RNA (906 nucleotides) under Strigula multiformis. RNAcentral's name for it is "partial large subunit ribosomal RNA". It matches the Rfam family "Eukaryotic large subunit ribosomal RNA", at positions 67 to 939 of the family's 3401-position model. The record is from RNAcentral. Lineage: Eukaryota; Fungi; Ascomycota; Dothideomycetes; Strigulales; Strigulaceae.